RNAcentral lists this ribosomal RNA (394 nucleotides) under uncultured bacterium. Its description in RNAcentral is "partial 16S ribosomal RNA". It matches the Rfam family "Bacterial small subunit ribosomal RNA", at positions 338 to 729 of the family's 1533-position model. The record is from RNAcentral.
CCUACGGGUGGCAGCAGUGAGGAAUAUUGGUCAAUGGGCGCAAGACUGAACCAGCCAAGUAGCGUGAAGGAUGACGGCCCUAUGGGUUGUAAACUGCUUUUAUACGGGGAUAAAGUGAGUCACGUGUGCUGUUUUGUAGGUACCGUAUGAAUAAGGAUCGGCUAAAUCCGUGCCAGCAGCCGCGGUAAUACGGAAGAUCCGGGCGUUAUCCGGAUUUAUUGGGUUUAAAGGGUGCGUAGAUGGGUUGUUAAGUCAGUUGGGCAAUUGUGCGGCUCAACCGUUUACUCGCCAUUGAUACUGGCAGUCUUGAGUAGAGGUGAGGUAGGCGGAAUGCGUGGUGUAGCGGUGAAAUGCUUAGAUAUCACGCAGAACCCCGAUUGCGAAGGCAGCAUGC